GAUGAACGCUAGCGGCAGGCUUAACACAUGCAAGUCGAGGGGUAGAGGAAGCUUGCUUCCUUGAGACCGGCGCACGGGUGCGUAACGCGUAUACAAUCUACCUUUUACAGAGGGAUAGCCCCAGAGAAAAUUUGGAUUAAUACCUCAUAGUAUUUUCGGAUCGCAUGAUUUGAUUAUUAAAGUUCCAACGGUAAAGAUGAGUAUGCGUCCCAUUAGCUAGAUGGUAAGGUAACGGCUUACCAUGGCAAUGAUGGGUAGGGGUCCUGAGAGGGAGAUCCCCCACACUGGUACUGAGACACGGACCAGACUCCUACGGGAGGCAGCAGUGAGGAAUAUUGGACAAUGGGCGCAAGCCUGAUCCAGCCAUGCCGCGUGCAGGAUGACGGUCCUAUGGAUUGUAAACUGCUUUAUAC
RNAcentral lists this ribosomal RNA (413 nucleotides) under uncultured bacterium. RNAcentral describes it as "bacterial SSU rRNA". It matches the Rfam family "Bacterial small subunit ribosomal RNA", at positions 28 to 440 of the family's 1533-position model. The record is from RNAcentral.